Molecule: ribosomal RNA, 440 nt
Filed under: uncultured bacterium
Lineage: Bacteria
Description: partial 16S ribosomal RNA
Rfam family: Bacterial small subunit ribosomal RNA
Source: RNAcentral
CCUACGGGUGGCAGCAGUGGGGGAUAUUGCACAAUGGGGGGAACCCUGAUGCAGCGACGCCGCGUGGGUGAAGAAGCGCCUCGGCGCGUAAAGCCCUGUCAGCAGGGAAGAAAAUGACGGUACCUGAAGAAGAAGCCGCGGCCGCCUCCGUGCCAGCAGCCGCGGGACUGCGUAGGGGGCAAGCGUUAGCCGGAUUUACUGGGUGUAAAGGGGGCGCAGACGGCGGUGCAAGCCAGGAGUGAAAGCCCGGGGCCCACCCCCGGGACUGCUCUUGGAACUGCGUGGCUGGAGUGCAGGAGGGGCAGGCGGAAUUCCUGGUGUAGCGGUGAAAUGCGUAGAUAUCAGGAGGAACACCGGUGGCGAAGGCGGCCUGCUGGACUGCAACUGACGUUGCGGCCCGAAAGCGUGGGGAGCAAACAGGAUUAGAUACCCCUGUAGUC